GACGAACGCUGGCGGCGUGCCUAAUACAUGCAAGUCGAACGCAGUGGGGACGGGUGAGUAACACGUGGGUAACCUCCCAUCAGAGGGGAUAACACUUGGCAACAGGUGCUAAACCGAUACUGAUGGAUGGACCCGCGGUGCAUUAGCUAGUUGGUGAGGUAACGGCUCACCAAGGCAACGAGGCAUAGCCGACCGGAGGGGGGGAUCGGCCACACUGCGACUGAAAAACGGCCCAAACUCCUCCGAGAGGCAGCAGUAGGGAAUCUUCGGCAAUGGACGAAAGUCUGACCGAGCAAGACCGCGUGAGUGAAGAAGGUUGUCGGAUCGUAAAACUCUGUUGUUAGAGAAGCGGUAUCUAACCAGAAAGCCACGGCUAACUACGUGCCAGCAGCCGCGGUAAUUC
RNAcentral lists this ribosomal RNA (403 nucleotides) under uncultured bacterium. RNAcentral describes it as "partial 16S ribosomal RNA". It matches the Rfam family "Bacterial small subunit ribosomal RNA", at positions 28 to 526 of the family's 1533-position model. The record is from RNAcentral.